RNAcentral lists this ribosomal RNA (446 nucleotides) under uncultured bacterium. RNAcentral's name for it is "bacterial SSU rRNA". It matches the Rfam family "Bacterial small subunit ribosomal RNA", at positions 331 to 792 of the family's 1533-position model. The record is from RNAcentral.
CCAGACUCCUACGGGAGGCAGCAGUGGGGAAUAUUGCACAAUGGGGGGAACCCUGAUGCAGCAAUGCCGCGUGAAGGAUGAAGGUUUUCGGAUUGUAAACUUCUUUUGUACGGGACGAGGAAAGUGACGGUACCGUAAGAAUAAGCAUCGGCUAACUCCGUGCCAGCAGCCGCGGUAAUACGGAGGAUGCGAGCGUUAUCCGGAUUUAUUGGGUUUAAAGGGUGCGUAGGCGGUCCGGAAAGUCAGCGGUAAAAGCCGGGGGCUCACCCCGGGCGAGCCGUUGAAACUGUCGGACUAGAGACGGCGAGAAGUGCGCGGAAUGCGCGGUGUAGCGGUGAAAUGCAUAGAUAUCGCGCAGAACUCCGAUUGCGAAGGCAGCGUACCGGCGCCGGACUGACGCUGAGGCACGAAAGCGUGGGUAUCGAACAGGAUUAGAUACCCGUGUA